This 769-nucleotide ribosomal RNA is filed under the name uncultured bacterium. RNAcentral describes it as "bacterial SSU rRNA". It matches the Rfam family "Bacterial small subunit ribosomal RNA", at positions 45 to 796 of the family's 1533-position model. The record is from RNAcentral.
UGCCUAAUACAUGCAAGUCGAGCGAACAGAUGAAGUGCUUGCACUUCUGACGUUAGCGGCGAACGGGUGAGUAACACGUAAGGAAUCUACCUAUAAGCGGGGGAUAACAUUCGGAAACGGGUGCUAAUACCGCAUAAUAUCUUCUUCCGCAUGGAAGAAGAUUGAAAGACGGCUCUGCUGUCACUUAUAGAUGACCUUGCGGUGCAUUAGUUAGUUGGUGGGGUAACGGCCUACCAAGACGAUGAUGCAUAGCCGACCUGAGAGGGUGAUCGGCCACAUUGGGACUGAGACACGGCCCAAACUCCUACGGGAGGCAGCAGUAGGGAAUCUUCCGCAAUGGGCGAAAGCCUGACGGAGCAAUGCCGCGUGAGUGAAGAAGGCCUUCGGGUCGUAAAACUCUGUUAUAAGAGAAGAACAAAUUGUAGAGUAACUGCUACAGUCUUGACGGUAUCUUAUCAGAAAGCCACGGCUAACUACGUGCCAGCAGCCGCGGUAAUACGUAGGUGGCAAGCGUUGUCCGGAUUUAUUGGGCGUAAAGGGAGCGCAGGUGGUUUCUUAGGUCUGAUGUGAAAGCCCACGGCUUAACCGUGGAGGGUCAUUGGAAACUGGGAAACUUGAGUACAGAAGAGGAAUGUGGAACUCCAUGUGUAGCGGUGGAAUGCGUAGAUAUAUGGAAGAACACCAGUGGCGAAGGCGACAUUCUGGUCUGUUACUGACACUGAGGCUCGAAAGCGUGGGGAGCAAACAGGAUUAGAUACCCUGGUAGUCC